UACGUAGGAGACGAGCGUUGUCCGGAAUUACUGGGCGUAAAGCGCGUGUAGGCGGCUUUGCAAGUCGGGUGUGAAAGCCCUCAGCUCAACUGAGGAAGUGCACCCGAAACUGGCGAGCUUGAGUACGAAAGAGGAUCGCGGAAUUCCCGGUGUAGAGGUGAAAUUCGUAGAUAUCGGGAGGAACACCGGUGGCGAAGGCGGCGAUCUGGGUCGAUACUGACGCUGAGGUGCGAAAGCGUGGGGAGCAAACAGGG
RNAcentral lists this ribosomal RNA (254 nucleotides) under uncultured bacterium. RNAcentral describes it as "partial 16S ribosomal RNA". It matches the Rfam family "Bacterial small subunit ribosomal RNA", at positions 524 to 777 of the family's 1533-position model. The record is from RNAcentral.